RNAcentral lists this ribosomal RNA (472 nucleotides) under uncultured bacterium. RNAcentral's name for it is "partial 16S ribosomal RNA". It matches the Rfam family "Bacterial small subunit ribosomal RNA", at positions 30 to 507 of the family's 1533-position model. The record is from RNAcentral.
AUUGAACGCUGGCGGCAGGCCUAACACAUGCAAGUCGAGCGGGGACUUCGGUCCUAGCGGCGAACGGGUGAGUAAUGCUUGGGAAUCUGCCCAGUAGUGGGGGAUAACGUCCCGAAAGGGACGCUAAUACCGCAUACGUCCUACGGGAGAAAGAGGGGGAUCUUCGGACCUCUCGCUAUUGGAUGAGCCCAAGUCGGAUUAGCUAGUUGGUAGGGUAGUGGCCUACCAAGGCGACGAUCCGUAGCUGGUCUGAGAGGAUGAUCAGCCACACUGGAACUGAGACACGGUCCAGACUCCUACGGGAGGCAGCAGUGGGGAAUAUUGGACAAUGGGCGAAAGCCUGAUCCAGCCAUGCCGCGUGUGUGAAGAAGGCCUUCGGGUUGUAAAGCACUUUAAGCGGGGAGGAAGGUUCGCGGCCUAAUACGUCGCGGAAUUGACGUUACCCGCAGAAUAAGCACCGGCUAACUCUGUG